GACGAACGCUGGCGGCGUGCUUAACACAUGCAAGUCGAACGGAAAGGCCCUGCUUUUGUGGGGUGCUCGAGUGGCGAACGGGUGAGUAACACGUGAGUAACCUGCCCUUGACUUUGGGAUAACUUCAGGAAACUGGGGCUAAUACCGGAUAGGAGCUCCUGCUGCAUGGUGGGGGUUGGAAAGUUUCGGCGGUUGGGGAUGGACUCGCGGCUUAUCAGCUUGUUGGUGGGGUAGUGGCUUACCAAGGCUUUGACGGGUAGCCGGCCUGAGAGGGUGACCGGCCACCUUGGGGCUGGGGAACCGGCCCGGAUCCUACGGGGGGCAAGAGUGGGGAAUAUUGCAACAAGGGGCGAAGCCUGAUGCAGGAACGCCGGGGGCGGGAUGGAGGCCCUCGGGGUGUAAACCGCUUUCGCCUGUGACGAAGCGUGAGUGACGGUAAUGGGUAAAGAAGCACCGGCUAACUACGUG
This 468-nucleotide ribosomal RNA is filed under the name uncultured bacterium. Its description in RNAcentral is "partial 16S ribosomal RNA". It matches the Rfam family "Bacterial small subunit ribosomal RNA", at positions 28 to 507 of the family's 1533-position model. The record is from RNAcentral.